CACUUGAUCUGAAAUCAGAUGG
RNAcentral lists this ribosomal RNA (22 nucleotides) under Absidia spinosa var. spinosa. Its description in RNAcentral is "partial 28S ribosomal RNA". Lineage: Eukaryota; Fungi; Mucoromycota; Mucoromycetes; Mucorales; Cunninghamellaceae. The record is from RNAcentral.